UACGGAGGGUGCAAGCGUUAUCCGGAUUUACUGGGUUUAAAGGGUGUGUAGGCGGGCAAUUAAGUCAGCGGUGAAAUCUCCGGGCUCAACCCGGAAACUGCCAUUGAUACUAUUUGUCUUGAAUAUCGUGGAGGUAAGCGGAAUAUGUCAUGUAGCGGUGAAAUGCUUAGAUAUGACAUAGAACACCAAUUGCGAAGGCAGCUUACUACCCGAAUAUUGACACUGAGGCACGAAAGCGUGGGGAUCAAACAGG
RNAcentral lists this ribosomal RNA (253 nucleotides) under uncultured bacterium. RNAcentral's name for it is "partial 16S ribosomal RNA". It matches the Rfam family "Bacterial small subunit ribosomal RNA", at positions 524 to 776 of the family's 1533-position model. The record is from RNAcentral.